RNAcentral lists this ribosomal RNA (253 nucleotides) under uncultured bacterium. RNAcentral describes it as "partial 16S ribosomal RNA". It matches the Rfam family "Bacterial small subunit ribosomal RNA", at positions 524 to 776 of the family's 1533-position model. The record is from RNAcentral.
UACGAAGGGGGCUAGCGUUGCUCGGAAUCACUGGGCGUAAAGGGUGCGUAGGCGGGUUUUUAAGUCAGGGGUGAAAUCCUGGAGCUCAACUCCAGAACUGCCUUUGAUACUGAAGAUCUUGAGUCCGGGAGAGGUGAGUGGAACUGCGAGUGUAGAGGUGAAAUUCGUAGAUAUUGGGAAGAACACCGGUGGCGAAGGCGGCUCACUGGCUCGUAUCUGACGCUCAGGCGCGACAGCGUGGGGAUCAAACAGG